GAUGAAGAACGCAGUGAAAUGCGAUAAGUAAUGUGAAUUGCAGAAUUCAGUGAAUCAUCGAAUCUUUGAACGCACAUUGCGCCCAUUAGUAUUCUAGUGGGCAUGCCUGUUCGAGCGUCAUUAAGUCCACUUAAGCCCUGCUUAGUGUUGGGAGACUGCUCCAGCGGUGCUACCCUGUAGCUACCCUGCAGCUCCUCAAAGACAGCGGCGGAGUUGUGGUAUCCUCUGAGCUUAGUAACUUGUUCUAGCUUUCGAGUACACCACUUCCCCUGCCGUAAAACCCUUAAUUUUUAAUGGUUGACCUCGAAUCAGGUAGGAAUACCCGCUGAACUUAAGCAUAUCAAUAAGCGGAGGA
Molecule: unclassified non-coding RNA, 355 nt
Filed under: soil metagenome
Description: partial contains 5.8S ribosomal RNA, internal transcribed spacer 2, and large subunit ribosomal RNA
Rfam family: 5.8S ribosomal RNA (bases 1-120)
Source: RNAcentral